This 437-nucleotide ribosomal RNA is filed under the name uncultured bacterium. RNAcentral describes it as "bacterial SSU rRNA". It matches the Rfam family "Bacterial small subunit ribosomal RNA", at positions 28 to 448 of the family's 1533-position model. The record is from RNAcentral.
GAUGAACGCUGGCGGCGUGCUUAACACAUGCAAGUCGAACGGGAAACCUUUUAAUGAAGCUUCGGCAGAUUUAGCUGGUUUCUAGUGGCGGACGGGUGAGUAACGCGUGGGUAACCUGCCUUAUACAGGGGGAUAACAGUCAGAAAUGACUGCUAAUACCGCAUAAGCGCACAGGACCGCAUGGUCCGGUGUGAAAAACUCCGGUGGUAUAAGAUGGACCCGCGUUGGAUUAGCUUGUUGGUGGGGUAACGGCUCACCAAGGCGACGAUCCAUAGCCGGCCUGAGAGGGUGAACGGCCACAUUGGGACUGAGACACGGCCCAGACUCCUACGGGAGGCAGCAGUGGGGAAUAUUGCACAAUGGGGGAAACCCUGAUGCAGCGACGCCGCGUGAAGGAAGAAGUAUCUCGGUAUGUAAACUUCUAUCAGCAGGGAAGA